CCCUUAGAUGUUCUGGGCCGCACGCGCGCUACACUGUUCGACGCAGCGAGUCUUAACCUUGACCGAAAGGUUUGGGUAAUCUUCAGCAAAGUCGAACGUGAUGGGGAUCGAUCAUUGCAAUUAUUGAUCGUGAACGAGGAAUUCCUAGUAAAUGCAAGUCAUCAGCUUGCGCUGAUUACGUCCCUGCCCUUUGUACACACCGCCCGUCGCUACUACCGAUUGAAUGGUUUAGUGAGAUCUCUGGAUUGACGCUGGCUAGGGGGCGACCCUUGGCCAGACUGUUGAGAAACUGCUCAAACUUGAUCAUUUAGAGGAAGUAAAAGUCGUAACA
Molecule: ribosomal RNA, 331 nt
Filed under: uncultured eukaryote
Lineage: Eukaryota
Description: partial 18S ribosomal RNA
Rfam family: Eukaryotic small subunit ribosomal RNA
Source: RNAcentral